UCCGGUUUGGCACCGGCAGUCCUCCCAGAGUCCCCGCCAUGACGCGCUGGCAACUGGGAGCGGGGGUUGCGCUCGUUGCGGGACUUAACCCAACAUCUCACGACACGAGCUGACGACAGCCAUGCAGCACCUGUCUGGCGGCUCCGAAGAGCGACGCUGGUUUCUCAGCGUCUUCCCCCAGAUGUCAAGCCCAGGUAAGGUUCUUCGCGUUGCAUCGAAUUAAUCCACAUGCUCCGCCGCUUGUGCGGGCCCCCGUCAAUUCCUUUGAGUUUCAGCCUUGCGGCCGUACUCCCCAGGCGGGGCACUUCAUGCGUUAGCGCCGGUACUCCAAGGGUCGCUCCCCGGAGCACCUAGUGCCCAUCGUUUACGGCGUGGACUAC
Molecule: unclassified non-coding RNA, 380 nt
Filed under: uncultured Gemmatimonadaceae bacterium
Lineage: Bacteria; Pseudomonadati; Gemmatimonadota; Gemmatimonadia; Gemmatimonadales; Gemmatimonadaceae
Description: contains 16S-23S intergenic spacer region
Source: RNAcentral